CAUGGGGGGGCGAACAUUCGCGAGGCUGCCGAAAUGGGCAGGUAUGGUCGACGACACUUCGUCGUUAAGGAAAAGCCAUUCCACGGCGUGUUUCGCGGAAUUGCAUGUUAAUUGUUAUUUUCGUUAACCAUGUGUCUAGGAUCUUAACUUGGUAUGCUGAAUCACCCGUGUAUAGGUUGGUUCGGGAGGCGUGUCUACUCCUUUAAAGUACUGGUUUUAUGCGUUGUAUCUCGUACAUCAUAUGUGAAACGUGUAAGUUUGUUUCUCUCUUCCAAUUCUCCUCUACCAAUGAACCGUUACUAUAGAUGGCCAGCCGUGCCGGGCUAAUCGUGCCGGUCCGGAGCACGACACGACACGGCUGGUGUCGGGCCCGUGCCGGCACGGCCCAAUAGGUAGUGUCGUGCCUGCAGGGGCGAAUCUAGGGGGGUUUAUCGGGGUCAGGCGACCCCGAUAAAUUUUAUAAAUCCUUUAGCAAAAUACUGUUAAAGUUCAUAAAAAUUUGUAUGAUAUAGCAAAGCUGCUCUUGAUGACCCCGAUCAUAUUUUCGGCUAGAUUCGCCACUGCGUGCCUGGGCCGAGCAUCAGGCAUGCUGGCCGGCACGGGCACGGCACGAUUAGCCCCCAGGCACGGUUAGGCACGAUUAUGCAUGAUUAGAUCCAAACACACCUAGUUAGCUGUGUGUUGUAAUCUUUUUUCUUAUAUAGGGUUUUCUCAUAAGGGUGAGUUUUUACCUAAAUAGGUUUUUAAUGAGUCAGCCAUUGCACUAAACAGUUCAAUAUUAGCUAUUUUAGUAUGUUUUAACUGUGUUUGUGAAUAUUUGACUAAAAUUCUGUGGUGUAGUGCUAAACGGGCUAUAUGGGCUAAACGGGCUAUAUGGGCUAAACGGGCCGGCACGGCAAGGCUAAGCAGGCUUAGUGCCGUGCUUGGGCCUGGCCUUAGGCACUAGUGCCGUGCCGGCACGACACGACUAUUAAACGGGCCAAACGGGCCGUGCCCUAACCAUGUCGUGCCUAGUCGUGCCCGGGCCGGGCCGUGCCGUGCCGCCCAUUUGGCCAUCUCUAACUGUUACAUUACAUAUGACCCAUAAGAAACCAUCCCAGCACAACACGAUAGAAAGUCGCACCCAGCACCACGUACUACGUUAGCUGAAGGACAACGACGUUAAAAGUGGAUGACUCUCUGUUCUUCAGCUAACGUGGUGCUAGGUAAGAUAAAAGGUUGUACGUGCCCUUAUAUGGUUAUACCUUCCUCGACCUUUUGACUAAGAUAAAAGAGAGCCGGAGAGCCAAUGCACUCACCGGACAUGUCUGUUAUCUGGUAAUGCAUUAAAUUUCUCGCUCGACAUGAGUUAUUCACAGACAAAGACUUCUAGAUGGUUGGCUCUGGACUCAUCGGGCGUGUCCACUAGACGUUAUGUACUAUUAAUGGCUAGUUUUGAAACUAACAGUCAGAGUGUCACAUAUGGCUAGUUUUGAAACUAGUUGUUAGAGUAUCACCAAACAUGUUCGGUGCAGGUAGCAAGGUCACACCGAACAUGUCCAGUGUCCCAUAAAUAUUGAGUGGAGAGGCAACAAAUAAUCCUUUGUCUUAGGGCUAUACAUACCCCUCCAUCUCGUAUUUAGAGUCUCUCUUGCUUAUUUGUUGAAGUAAAAAAUAAUUUGAAAAACAAGGAGAAGUUCUUGUCUACUGAAGUGGUUAAUAUUUGAUAAGAUUAAGAAGCUUAUUAGUGAACAAAGAGUAAACUCAAGAUGUGAGCAGUUGUGGGUGAUUCACCGCAUUGGUGAUUCACCGCAUUGGAGUAACAAAAAAUAGCCUUUAGUGAAGACUUGUUCCUUUGUGGAUCAAGGAAAAGUAAUACCCUUACACAAGUGCUCUAACAAGAACCGGUGGAAAGUGUUGACUGUCCAAUACCUUAAAAACCAUCAAUGUACUUCUAUCCCUCUUUACUUUUAUGUAUUUACAUUUGUGCAAUUACAUUAAUGUCUUUACAUUCCUAGAAUUGCCACGCUAGUGUAGGAUUGAAAACUUAAGAGUGUAGAAUUUUAUGCAUAGUACAGAAAUCAAUGCUAGACAAAACAAAUGUAAUGGAAUAAAUGAUAGAUCUUAAUUAUUAAAAAAUAGAUCAGACCAAUUCAGUAUACUCUUGAAUAUUUUGAUUCUUUCAUAUUUCUCUAUCAGGUAUAGUUUAUACAACAAAAGAUUGAGCUUGUUGUAUUAGGUCUAUUCUUAUUAUGGUGUAGGUGAGGCAAUGUGAUAAGAGUUGAACAAGUACAAUAAUGUUUAAAUAUCGUAGGUUUCCAGUGUGGUGAAUUUUCUUACAGGUAAUGAACACGUGAUUAGCAAGCCACGAUGCGUCUAAAUAUUUGUAGCCUUGCUUAAAAUGUUCAUUUUCUUUCUUGGGGUUGUUUUUCACGCAAUGCAAAUAUUGGUUGGGUUUAUAAAGUAAGAACAACAAUGUUUUGUAUACUUUUUUUGGCAGCAAGAUUAUAUACACACACAUAAUUCUAAUCAGAAAGUCAUUUGUUUGCCAAAUGAAUCCGUGGUAUCUCAGUCCUAAGGAUAUUGAUGUUUUGUUUGCCAAAUGAACCCGUGAGCACACAUCUCACGUUGUUGGCAUUUUUUUUUUUGCCAAACGCGAGAUUUGUGCCCUUAUAUCAGUAUAUUUCCCAUUCGUUUAAAAAUAAACUUUAUUAGAACUACUUCUUAUAUACAUAGCCAAUACAAAUACUAGUCUUACUUUCUCAUUUCUCUUAUCCGCAAGUUGUGGAACUCUUAAAAUCUCUACAACGUCAACACAGGCCAGAUCAAACAUAAGGCUGCCUUCAACAACCUUCGCUAAAUUUCAUAUUCUAAAAAAAAAAUUGUGUUAUUCACAGUACACUCUAAAAGAUUUUAUUCUAUAUAUCUUUAUUAUCUCCAACAAUGUACUCUAAAUUGUAUCCUCUAUAUCCUAUGAAUUUCCGAGCACAUAUUGUUUUGACAAGAUUUUAACUGAUCCACAGUUUGCAAAUUGUUUUUAUUCAUAUUAAUUAAUAUAAUGUAGAAAUAAAGUGGGGUUUUUAGCGUGAACACUGAACACACACGUAUUGUUUUGACAAAAUUCGGAUGUUGUUGGAGGUGGUAGCGUGGACAUGGAACGCUAAAUUUCGCGUACAUGUUUUUUUAGCGGGUGUUUGUUGGAGUUGAUGUCGCAAGCUAGCCAGCUAGCUAGCUUCAGUCCAUAUCACGGCAUCACCCACCUGAUUUUUUAUACGAGUGACAGAUGAUCUGUCAUUGAGCUGUGAGCCUGUCGCUUUCGUAAAUUGACACGGGAAUUUCAAUUGUAGUAAUAUUCCUUUUCUUCUAAUGCGAGAAUCGUAUUAUUUCGUGUUAUGCCCGGCUGUGAUUGCUAAGCAUUCUGACGUUAGAAUCGGUCUAUAAUAAUAACACUUCGUACCGCUUCUGUGUGAAUUGUUUAGGCCUCGUUCGUUUGCACAGGAUUACAUCCUGAUUUAUUCCAGCUAAUCAAAACCUAUAUAAAUUAGAGAAACAAUUCAGAUAGGAAUUGUUCCAGGCCUCCAUUCCGUAGUAACCGAACGGCCCCUUAUGUGAAAAACACUCAAAUUUCGUUCACUUUUUCUUUAUCUACGCGGAAAAUCUAUCCUGAGUUGCUGCCUGCCCGGGCGCGUCUCCCCCCUGACAGCCUCCCGCCACCGACACCCACAUCU
This 3707-nucleotide long non-coding RNA is filed under the name Zea mays. RNAcentral's name for it is "long non-coding RNA (ZMAY_LNC004506)". The record is from RNAcentral. Lineage: Eukaryota; Viridiplantae; Streptophyta; Magnoliopsida; Poales; Poaceae.